This 73-nucleotide transfer RNA is filed under the name Stegodyphus mimosarum. It matches the Rfam family "tRNA". Rfam says of the family: Transfer RNA (tRNA) molecules are approximately 80 nucleotides in length. Their secondary structure includes four short double-helical elements and three loops (D, anti-codon, and T loops). The record is from Rfam by way of RNAcentral. Lineage: Eukaryota; Metazoa; Arthropoda; Arachnida; Araneae; Eresidae.
GCCUUCGUGGUGUAGUGGUCAGCAUGCUCGACGCGUAACCGAGAGGUCCGUUGUUCGAAUCCCGGAGAAGGCG